Molecule: long non-coding RNA, 975 nt
Filed under: Homo sapiens (human)
Lineage: Eukaryota; Metazoa; Chordata; Mammalia; Primates; Hominidae
Description: HSALNT0197831
Source: RNAcentral
CCUCCCCCCACCCAGUGGGCACCAGUCUAACCACUGCAGCAUCUGAGGAUGCAGUAACCAGAUUACCCCCAGGCCCUGAUGCAGUUAGUGCUGGCUCCCGGGCUGGUGUCCUUCCACCCCCGCCUGGCCUGACUUCCCAUCUCGGCAUUCCUGCCCCCUCCCAUGGAGUAGGAAUGAACACUGGUCUGAGCACUGCUGUAGUCUGAGCUUUCGUUUUCCUUGUGUGCAGCUGUCCCGGCCUCCCUCCUAUUUCUCUCUUCCUGAGUCAUGCUGUCCUCCCACAUUUUGAGAUGAGCCAGCUUUGGUUUGGAGUCUGGGGUGGCCCUGUCAGAAGCAAGUGCACUGAGGAGGUGGCCUGGGUCCCAGUGCACUCCCAGCCUGGGCAGACCUGACCGUGGCCUGGCUGGCUGUGGGGACCAUGUGUCAUGGGGCAGGCAGACAUGUGCCCUGCACACCUCGCAGGCUGCUUAGAGGGGAGAUGACCCAGACAGAGGUCACCGUGCAGCCCAGCUCCAGGCCGACAGGGCCUGACAUCCCAUAUUGACAGGCUCACGAUGCUCCUCCCCAAGGAACGAGGCCAGAAGGUUCUGCUCACAGGUUUAUUGGACUGAGUAUGUUGUGACUUCUAAGGGAAGAGUCUGGGCAGAUUCAAGGUUACAACGCCUGUGGGGUGGGGUGGGGUGGGGUUCCCAGGGCCCAAGACCGGGAGCAGAGCCCCUCAGAGCUCAGCUGGCUUGGGUUCCAGGUGGCUGUGAGAGGUGAUGGGAAGUGAGCAGCCCUGUAGGGACCAGCUGGGGAGGAGGUGUCAGGGGCUGUAUGCCAGGGUGGGGCACAAGCCUGGGGCCAGAGCGUGCCCCCAGCCCUUGCACAGGGAUCCUGUGGUGCCCCGUUUCGUGGAGAUGCUCCGCUACUGAGGUGCCCACGUCCACGUGCAGGUCCCUAGCUGGGGACUCUCUGGCCCCACCAGGCCGGGUC